RNAcentral lists this ribosomal RNA (439 nucleotides) under uncultured bacterium. Its description in RNAcentral is "partial 16S ribosomal RNA". It matches the Rfam family "Bacterial small subunit ribosomal RNA", at positions 339 to 795 of the family's 1533-position model. The record is from RNAcentral.
CUACGGGCGGCUCCAGUGAGGAAUAUUGCACAAUGGGGGGAACCCUGAUGCAGCAACGCCGCGUGGAGGAUGACGCAUUUCGGUGUGUAAACUCCUUCUAUAUGUCAAGAAAAUGACGGUAGCAUAUGAAUAAGCACCGGCUAACUCCGUGCCAGCAGCCGCGGUAAUACGGAGGGUGCAAGCGUUACUCGGAAUCACUGGGCGUAAAGGGCGCGUAGGCGGGUUGGAAAGUCAGGUGUGAAAUCCUACAGCUUAACUGUAGAACUGCACUUGAAACUUCUAAUCUAGAGUAUGGGAGGGGGAGAUGGAAUUAGUGGUGUAGGGGUAAAAUCCGUAGAUAUCACUAGGAAUACCUAAAGCGAAGGCGAUCUCCUGGAACAUUACUGACGCUAAGGCGUGAAAGCGUGGGGAGCAAACAGGAUUAGAUACCCGCGUAGUC